AGAGUUGAUCAUGGCUCAGGACGAACGCUGGCGGCGUGCUUAACACAUGCAAGUCGAACGGAACACCCUUGACAGAGGUUUCGGCCAAUGAAGAGGAAUGUUUAGUGGCGGACUGGUGAGUAACGCGUGAGGAACCUGCCUUUCAGAGGGGGACAACAGUUGGAAACGACUGCUAAUACCGCAUGAAGCAGCGGGGGGACAUCCCCUUGCUGUCAAAGAUUUAUCGCUGAAAGAUGGCCUCGCGUCUGAUUAGCUAGUUGGUGGGGUAACGGCCCACCAAGGCGACGAUCAGUAGCCGGACUGAGAGGUUGACCGGCCACAUUGGGACUGAGAUACGGCCCAGACUCCUACGGGAGGCAGCAGUGGGGAAUAUUGGGCAAUGGACGCAAGGUCUGACCCAGCAACGCCGCGUGAAGGAAGAAGGCUUUCGGGUUGUAAACUUCUUUUAACAGGGAAGAGAAGAAGACGGUACCUGUUGAAUAAGCCACGGCUAACUACGUGCCAGCAGCCGC
Molecule: ribosomal RNA, 512 nt
Filed under: uncultured bacterium
Lineage: Bacteria
Description: bacterial SSU rRNA
Rfam family: Bacterial small subunit ribosomal RNA
Source: RNAcentral